Molecule: long non-coding RNA, 3271 nt
Filed under: Sus scrofa (pig)
Lineage: Eukaryota; Metazoa; Chordata; Mammalia; Artiodactyla; Suidae
Description: lncRNA (ENSSSCG00015044538.1)
Source: RNAcentral
UUUUAAAUAAUUUGAGGACGAGGUAUGUGUCAAUUUUUUAAAAAUCAUGCUUUAGAGCAUGUCUAAAGCUUGUUAAAAAUUUAGGCGUCUGGGCCAAAUACUGACUAAUUCAGCUGUUUAAGAGAGGAUACUCGCACAUGAAAAUUUGGGAACAGGUGAAUCAAAGGGAUAAAACACGAGCAUGCACCUCUUCGUACGGGGCCCCCAAAGGCGUUUAAUCGCCUCGGCCUGAAUGCGCACAGAAAACUCUGUUGUCUGUUCGAAAUGGGGCUGUUUGCGACGUGCAGUGUGCCUCAGACAAAAGCAUGAUCUCCUCCAACGGUUCUGAUGGUUUUAAAACCCUUCCUCAAGUAUAAAUGAGAGGAUUGAGUCGUCCCCGCCUCCUCUAAACCCUGCAGAGCAGGAGGCGAGGGCCUGCCAGGACUGCAGUUGCUCUAAGACCCGGCGGGGGCCUGCGCUGACUCGAGUCAGGCAUUGCAACCACCCCGCGGCCCCUUUAGCUUCUGCUCCCAAUCCCCGUGCAAACAGCAGCGGCUGCUGUAAUGUCAACUUUCUCGGUACCGAAUGCGUCCUCAUGGCCAUCUGUUUUUACUGCCAUUUCUCAUGGCGUCUCUGACUUCAACUAAUAAGGCAACAUCUUUUCCGAACCGAUCACCAGCAGAGUGGGUGAACUGUUUUAAGCUACAUUCGCAUCUCUGAAGAUGCCGCGGGAAACACCAGUUGUGGACAGAUGUUUUCACUCAGGGAAAUGUGUCCUUCAAACAAAUCCCAUAAUCGGCCCCCCCAACGUCUACUGCUUAACGAGUAAUCGAGUAAAAUGCAAUAACUUAAUUACAUUAUUUUUCAAACUCAUUGUUGUACCACAUUGUUCUCAGUCAGCUUGGUUUGACAGCCCUUUUAGCACGAACAAUAUUAACAGUAAUAGCGCUAGCUCCAAAAGGCAGGACAUGUCUGUCAUCUAAAAUAAACCAUCAGAUGUAUUUUAUAAUAGUCUUCACCCAAACAGCAGCACGUUAACAUAACUGAGCUAGUUCCGUACAGGACAGCCAAGGCCUUUCCAAACCCGAGAGACCAACCAUUUUCAGAAGUUCUAAAAGAAAUGCUAUCCACUUCUCUUUCCCAGAAGUGACAGUAGCCGGAAACAAACUAAUUUGGACUCACAUGUCCUGUAAUUUAUUCUGCUGGGGAUUCCUCUGUAUCAAAAGAGACAAGCAGGGAAUGAAAUGCAUAGCUGAGGGCCCACGUGCCCCCAACAGGAUGAUGUAACUGAUUAAAAGAGACCCACGGAGCCAUGGCAAAGACUGCACUGCUCCUGGAAGGUAAGGAAAGGACUCAGGUUACAACACAGAGCUCACCGCAUGCCCCAUCACGGCAGCGCAUCUGGGCAGAGGGCAGGCUUCCUGGUCUCAACCCCGCCAAACACGCAUCACCAAGACCACGUUAUGUCUCUGUACAGUGAAGCCUACGAAGGCCUUCUAGAAGCUCCCUUUAUACUUCUUCCUGUGGAUUUCUUUUUCUACCUCCACCACCUGUUCUUGUGCCCAUGAGGCACAAGUUCACGGGGUAACGUGCCUAGUCAUUUUCUGAGUGUUUACUGCAGGACCUGGAGCAUUUACUGAUUCACAGUCAGUGUCCUAGGAACGACUGUCCAGGUGACAGGUUCAGGCUUCAGGUCUGAUGGAGCUAGUCUUCCACUGAGUAACUGUCGUAUCAAUAGAGCCCUACCUGCGCCCCUGUUGUCUCCACAGCAUAGGUUGUUACAGUCACGGGCAGAGAUGAGGGGGAGACCAAGUCAUCCUAUCCGUGGAAACUUCUAUCCUCUAAUUGUACAACGCAGUCAAAGAGGAAAGGACAUGGAUGGAUUAUGUUGUCACAAGACUGGAAACAAACACUGAAUCAGACAAUUAAAAGAAAAAGUUGGUUUAAAUGAAAGUAGCUGUUUCAAUAGAUCAUCAGCCCUCUUCACUGUGUACCAGAAAGAACUGUUUCCUUUAUCAUUACUGAAUAACGUGAAUAUCAUCCCCACCCUGAAAAAAUUCAACUCAACUAAAAAAUUUUAAAUGAUCUCUUACAGUGUCUCAAUCAGUGCCGGGCGCCUGUUUCGGCCCGAACUGUCUCCUCCCAUAAUUCAUAUGCUCAAGUCCCAAGCCCAGGACCCCAGAGCAGGACUGUAAAGAUACAGGGCCUCUGAAGAGGUCAUCAGCAUCACAUGUCGUAUGCACAGACCUACUCUGACCUGGCUGAUGUCCGCAUCAUAGAGGGAAUUUAGACACAGAGUCACCAAGGGGCCUGUGCAACAAGCAGCAAGAAAGCAGCCGCCUGGAAGCCAAGGACAGAAGCUUCAGAAGAAACCAACCCUGAGACAUUCUGACCUCGGACUUGCAUCCUCUCUAACUGGGAGAAAGUGAAUUUCUGUCGUUUUAGCCCGGGGCAUUUUAUCAUGCCUGCCUGAGCCAAGCAAUACAAGCCCCAUUCACUCAGCAGACAGUACCUGAGCAGGAUCAAGGGCUGGGAGGGGGCUAGCUGCUGGGCUGGGUACUCCUCCCAUUCCAGGCAUUACAGAACUGAGAAGCACAAUUACAGAACAAACAAAACACAGUCUAAAACUCACAAAUGUUUUCGACUUCCCAAGAACUGCCAUCUUCCUUAACGCAGGACACGUGCACCUCGUUUGCUUUCCAUCCUGAUGAAAACUGUCCAACUCGGUUUAGUCCAGUCUUUCCAACCACGACCUCCUUCGCUGCCUCUUUUCAAAGAUCCUGCUGUUUCCACCCUUAUACUGUCCCCACUCCUCGACUCGCUGUUCUCCCUGCUGAUUCGUAAAGAAGUGAUUCACAACCUUUUUUUUAAUGACACAAAAAAUUUUCACAAAAUUGAUUCAGAUCUAUACAAGGCUUGGAGGAAAAAGUCCUACUUUUUCUUGCAUUUUAUGAUUAUAAUAUAUAAAAAAUACAGAAUAUUAGGGAAGACUUAAAACACUGACUAUAAAUGAACUUUCAAAAAAGUUUAGCAUUUAGUAAGAAACAUGAAAUUUCUUCCAUGGACAUAAUACUAUAGAAUAUUUGAUCCCUGGUCUUGCUCAGUGGGUUAAGGAUCCAGCGUUGCCGUGAGCUGUGGUGUAGGUCGCAGACGCAGCUUGGCUCCCAUGUUGCUGUGGCUGCGGUGUAGGCCAGCGGCUAAAGCUCUGAUUAGACCCCUAGCCUGGGAACCUCCAUACGCCAAGGGUGCGGCCCCAGGAAGACAAAAAAAAAGUGAUAGCUAACAUAUGGUU